This 179-nucleotide ribosomal RNA is filed under the name uncultured Actinomycetales bacterium. RNAcentral's name for it is "partial 16S ribosomal RNA". It matches the Rfam family "Bacterial small subunit ribosomal RNA", at positions 154 to 334 of the family's 1533-position model. The record is from RNAcentral. Lineage: Bacteria; Bacillati; Actinomycetota; Actinomycetes; Actinomycetales.
GAACUGGGGCUAAUACCGGAUAGGAGCUCCUGCUGCAUGGUGGGGGUUGGAAAGUUUCGGCGGUUGGGGAUGGACUCGCGGCUUAUCAGCUUGUUGGUGGGGUAGUGGCUUACCAAGGCUUUGACGGGUAGCCGGCCUGAGAGGGUGACCGGCCACAUUGGGACUGAGAUACGGCCCAG